This 696-nucleotide long non-coding RNA is filed under the name Homo sapiens (human). Its description in RNAcentral is "long non-coding RNA NONHSAT203619.1". Lineage: Eukaryota; Metazoa; Chordata; Mammalia; Primates; Hominidae. The record is from RNAcentral.
AGAAGGAGGCAGAUCAUCUCAAGCGGCCCCAGUGGGAAUUAAGUCAAGUUCAGAACCUUCUUCCUUCUGAAAUGGCCUCCAGGAAGCCAGCCAGGUGCCAGGAAGCCUCCAUACCUUACUGUGAAGGGCCUCACAAAACCACCUUGCAGUGAAGGCAUUGCUACACUCACUUUGCAGAUAUGGAAACUGAGGCUCAGAAAGAAGUAACUUGGCUCGUCACAUGGGUGCCAAUCAAUGUUUCUCAUGGGCCUUUGGCAUCUCAGUGACAAUGGCAUGCAGGACGCACCCAGGCUGGUUUCUACUUCUUGACUUUCUGCCAGGGCUGAAGGUGUUUCCCCGCUCCACCGCAGUGGCUUAGAGGAAGUCAGUUUCAUUUGCACCCUUCUAAAUCCUGACCUGGGAGCCUUUUUGCUGAUAUAAACCUCCUUCCCUGAUGGUGCAAGCUGAGCUCCAGCAAGAUCUGAGAAUCAAGAAGGUGGGGUUAUCUGCCUCUUUAAUCAAUGGAGGAAAACGCAUGGGUUUUGAGCCUCAGAUUUGCAACCCAGCUCUGGAAAUCACUUCUUGGAGCAGCAGUACCUCCAUCAGUUAUGCCAAGAUAAUAACCUCUAGCUCCUAGGGUUUUGGAGUGGGGAGGUUAGAGAUGAUCCUGGUGAAGGCUUGAGAAACCAUAACACUUCAGUAAAUAGUAAUUUCAGU